ACUUCGAAGCAAAUGGUCGCCUGUUUCUUCGGGAGAAUGGGUCAUGUGGCCACUGUUCCGCUAGAGAAACGUAGGACUGUCAAUUCUGAGUGGUACACGACCAUUUGUUUGCCGGAGGUCUUCGGAGACAUUCGCAAAACCAACUGCCGAGCACGAAUCAUUCUCCAUCAUGACAAUGCGAGCUCGCACACAUCUCGACAAACAGUCCUGACUUGGCACCCAAUGACUUCUUUUUAUUCCCUAACAUC
Long non-coding RNA from Drosophila miranda, 248 nucleotides. RefSeq lists it as uncharacterized. The transcript is spliced from 2 exons. The record is from RefSeq and is a predicted model, not a curated record. Lineage: Eukaryota; Metazoa; Arthropoda; Insecta; Diptera; Drosophilidae.